This 211-nucleotide unclassified non-coding RNA is filed under the name Hevea brasiliensis (rubber tree). Lineage: Eukaryota; Viridiplantae; Streptophyta; Magnoliopsida; Malpighiales; Euphorbiaceae. The record is from RNAcentral.
AAAAAAAAAAAAAAAAAAAGGUGGAAGAGAAGAUUGAAAGCUGCUACUGGCCUACUGCCAGUGUUACUUCCUCAGAUCGUCCUAUCACUGUAGACAAUCUCUAAGUACUCUCUCUUUGUUUCCUUCUCUUCUUCUUGUGCUUUACUGCUCUCCUUCUCCCUCUCUCCCCCCCUCACUUGGGUUUCUGCCUUUUUUAUAAUUUGUCUCGGGA